Molecule: long non-coding RNA, 2774 nt
Organism: Vespa velutina
Lineage: Eukaryota; Metazoa; Arthropoda; Insecta; Hymenoptera; Vespidae
Exons: 4
Source: RefSeq, a predicted model, not a curated record
UCGAUUCGAGUUUCUUUACAUCUUUCUCUUAUCGUUAGAAUUACGAACUUUAACGAAUGUACAAAUAUACGAGAUAGAUAAAGCGUGAGAGAGAGAGAGAGAGAGAGAGAGAAGGAGAACGAUAGGAAAAGAAACGUUUUCCACGCGACUAUUUCGAUUCCCAAAUGGAAAUGCUCAGGAGACUGGAAAGAGCUGCGUUCAAAAUGGUAUUAAUACACUUCGGGGCACAUAGAGACAAUCGGAUAGAUAACGUAGAAACGACGGUGACUGCCGGACGAGAUUAGGUCGUCUGCUUAGCUAGUAGAGAAACCAGAUUCGGUUACAUUUACACAUUUAUGGAAUAUCGAUUUCGAGUGGGUCUGCUGAAGAGGAAAAAAGGAGGAGGAAGAAUAAGAAGAAGAAGGACAAGAAAAAGCGAAGAAGGAGAGGAGUACAACGAAAGAAGAGAAACAGGAGGGAGGGAGGGAGAGAGAGAGAGAAAGUGCUGAGAGAAGAAAAAGAAGGAAAGUAUUCAUGUAUUCGUCGCUUUAGCAAAUUCAAGCCCCGAAGGCAGAUUGCGUCGAGAGAGGAUUGCUAUAAGAGAGAAAGAGAGAGGUGGGUGGGAAAAGGAGAGAGAGGGAGGGAGAGAGAGAGAGAGAGAGAGACUGCAAUUUCAAGGCAUUAUAAAUUUACUCGCGAUAAUGUUCGACAUCGAAUCGCCAAGGAUUCUUCGAUCGCAAAUAUAUUCUCGACAUAAUCGAAUUCGAGAGAGAGAGAGAGAGAGAGAGAGAGAGAGAGAGAGAGAGAGAGAGAGGGAGGGAGGAAGGAGGGAAGAGAAAAAGGAGGUGAACGCUUUUUAUCAUAAUUUUAUGUGUCUACACGAAAAAGAAAGAGGGAGGGUGAACUUUCGUCGAGUUUCGAAGUAACAAAAAUCGAAGGAACAAGUGAGCUAUCAUCACGUCGGGGAGUGGGUACUCGAAAAAGUGCUUGAUCGUUGAAAAUUUUUUGAAUUUUCUCGUAAAAUGGAAAUACAAAGAGAGACGAUAUUAUGCAAUGCGUAUGCAUCCACGUACAUACAUAGAUAGCUAUGUAAAGGCAUCUACCUUUAACUUUAUCUACCUACCUACCUACCUACCUACCUACCUACCUACCACCUACCUAUUUAUCUAUGUACGUGUGCGAAUAAGAAAAACGCAUAGAUGAGAUUAGAGAGAAGAUCGUACGGUGAUUCGUUCGUUCGCUCUAAAACUUGAGAACGACUAUGGAAUAAAAUAUGAUUCAUGCUCUGUUCUCAAGAUAAGACACGUAGGUAGGGGCGUAUACCCAGCUGCAGGCUUUGACAAAUCUCCGGUUAUAAUUCUUUUGCCAUUCUCACGGCCGGGAUUUCUUCUACCGGUUUUCGGUAUUUCGGGGGAUAGAAAAGUUCGCAGGUGCGGAAAGAUGAAAGCCGGAAAAGCGAAAUCAUCGAAGGAAUAUAUAUAUAUAUAUAUGGAGGAUUUUCGUUUAUCGCCAGGAUUCUAAUAAAUUUUUAUUAUACAAUCUAUCUACGUAACGUAACGUAAUAUAUAUAUAUAUAUAUAUAUAUAUAUAUAUGUGUGUGUGUGUGUGUGUGUAUAUAUAUAUAUAUCAAAAUUAUUUUCAUAUUAAAUAAAAUUAUUUAUUUUCUACGAUUAUGUUUGAUCACGUUAAUACGUCUUCUCUUCUCUUAUACGUACAAUCAUACAUACAUAAAUUAUAUUAUCUUUGAUAUUCCAUUAACCGAUUCGAUUGAUUAAACGUCGUCAACGUGUGACCAUGGAAAAAUCGUAAAUGCGUAAAAGAUCAAGAAGAUUAUGAUAUAAUAAUUUGAAAAGGCACGAUCGAUACAGAACGAGCAAGAAGGAAAAUUAUCACCGUGGAAAAAAAUAUCAUUCGUCCCUCGUGGAAGAGUUUUUCACGGAAAGGACGAAUACGAAAAGAGAGAGAAAGAGAGAGAGAGAAAAAAAAAGGAAAAAGAGGUAAUAGCAAAAGGGAUGAGAGUUAACAGGAAUCCCGGAGUUUCCUGUCAUCCUCUUCGUCUGACUUGCUGGCCAGCUUGCUCGAAAGACAAUAGUCCUUGGUACAAUGGUGGCACGUCGAACACGUGCCAUUGAAGGGUCGAAAUAGGAGAGGCUGCCAAGGAGGAAAACGACAGCCUCCAAUAUGUACCAGAUCUACACUUACACGUACCACCUAUCUACCUAGAUAUAACGGUGACUGGCCGUUACCAUGGAAAUGUGCGUGCAAAAUUUGUAUCCAUGACUGCGACCGCGGCUGCUGGGAAUUCGAGAAAAGCUCUCGUUGAAUUACGAGCCACUAAAGAGGCUCUGCGUGAGUCGUUUUCGCGUUCUCCGUGCAAUACUACCAGCAGCUACUAGCACCACCCACCAUCACCAACACCAUCAUCACCAUCACUAUCACCAUCACCACCAGUGGAAAACGGAGAAACGAAUUUUCUAAAGAAACGCGAGCCUGCAGGAAAAUGGAUAUGUCUCUCUUCUCGAGCAAACGUGCCCCGGGCAAGGUCGUUUCCAAAAGGUCUACUAAAACUGCGCUCCGACAUGCACGAUAUUUUAUUUCUUUUCUUUUAUAUUUGCUAUUUUUUUUUUGUUCUUUUUUUCCCGCUUUUUUUUCUUUGUCUUUCUCUCUUUCUCUCUCUCUCUCUCUCUCUCUCUCUCUCUCUCUCUUUCUCUUUCUCCCUUUCUUUCUUUCUUUUAUUCUGACGUCCGAACAAAUAUGAAAUAAACCGUUUCGUAGCGAAAAGAUUCUUACGAUAU